CCUACGGGAGGCAGCAGUGAGGAAUAUUGCGCAAUGGGCGAAAGCCUGACGCAGCGACGCCGCGUGAAGGAUGAAGGUCUUCGGAUCGUAAACUUCUGUUAAGUGGGAAGAAAGACUCGUUUCUAAUAAAAACGAGGGAUGACAGUACUAUUAGAGAAAGCACCGGCUAACUUCGUGCCAGCAGCCGCGGUAAUACGAAGGGUGCUAGCGUUAUUCGGAAUCAUUGGGCGUAAAGGGCGCGUAGGCGGCCUGUUAAGUUUGCUGUUAAAUCUUUCGGCCUAACCGAAAACUGCAGCAAAAACUGAUAGGCUAGAGUGUAAGAGAGAGAAGUGGAAUUCUCGGAGUAGCGGUAAAAUGCGUAGAUCUCGAGAGGAACACCGAUGGCGAAGGCAGCUUCUUGGCUUACUACUGACGCUGAGGCGCGAAAGCGUGGGGAGCAAACAGGAUUAGAUACCCUGGUAGUCCACGCUAGUAACGAUAGAUCACUAGAUAGUUAGUUUCUUGUCUUAGUACGAGGUAGUUAGUUGUUCGUUAGUACGUAACCGUACGGUUAAGGUUAGUAGUCCGUCCGUCGGGGUAAGGGUUACGGGUUCGGCGAGGACGUUAAACCGUAACAAGUUAGAGUUAGACGGGCGUUGAGACGUUGCCGACGGACGACGACGAGGGAGGAGG
RNAcentral lists this ribosomal RNA (672 nucleotides) under uncultured bacterium. RNAcentral's name for it is "bacterial SSU rRNA". The stretch from base 1 to 533 matches the Rfam family "Bacterial small subunit ribosomal RNA", at positions 338 to 873 of the family's 1533-position model. The record is from RNAcentral.